CCAAAAUUACAGCCCCCCAUAUAAUUAACACCUCAACAGAUAAACUAAAAUAUUUUCACAAUCUAGUAAAGAUGAUUAAAAAAUUUGUCGGAGCUUCACGUACCGCAAGGGCCCCAUGAAAUAGUUCUGAAAUAGUCCUAAAGCAAAACAAAGUAGAGAUUUAACCUCGUACCUUGUGCAUCAUGAUUUAACUAGUCUAAUUAAGCAAAAAGACCUUAAAGUUUAACAUCCCGAAACUAAGUGAGCUACUUCAGGGCUGCUUAAUGAGCGAACCCGUCUCUGUUGCAAAAGAGUGGGAGGACCUUGAAGUAGAGGUGAUAUACCUAUCGAACUUAGUGAUAGCUGGUUGCUUGCGAAAGGAAUCUUAGUUCAACCUAGAGUCACCCCAAUACCUUAAAUAACCCCAAGACUCUAGAGCUAUUCAAAUAAGGUACAGCCUAUUUGAAACAGGAUACAACCUAGACUAACGGGCAAUUUCACAUCUAAGGCAGCCUAGUGGGCCUAAGAGCAGCCACCUUAAAACAGCGUCAAACCUUAACUGUCCAUUCACCCCAAUUUCAAACCCCACAACAAACCCUUUACCCAUACCAAGCACUUCUAUGCCUUCCCAUAGAAAAUUUUAUGUUAAAACUAGUAACAAGAAGAAAACCAUUCUCUAUAAUGCAAAUUUAAAUCAGAAAGGACCCACCACUGAUACUUACACAGCCCUAAGCCCAUAGUAGUAACCCAACAGGAAAAACCUACUCCGCUACUCUGUUAACCUAACACAAGAGCAUUACAAGAAAGAUUAAAAGAAAAAGAAGGAACUCGGCAAACACUAGCCCCGCCUGUUUACCAAAAACAUCGCCUCUUGACAAAAAUAAGAGGUCCAGCCUGCCCAGUGACAUCAGUUUAACGGCCGCGGUAUCCUAACCGUGCGAAGGUAGCGUAAUCACUUGUUUUUUAAAUAAAGACUAGUAUGAAAGGCAUCACGAGGGUCAAACUGUCUCCUUUCUCCAAUCAGUGAAACUAAUCUUCCCGUGAAGAAGCGGGAAUUAAUCUAUAAGACGAGAAGACCCCAUGGAGCUUUAAACUUACGGCAAUUGCCCUUACUUUUAUACUUCUCAUGAACAUAAACACCCGGCGCUUUGACUAAGAGUUUUAGGUUGGGGCGACCGCGGAGUAAAACUCAACCUCCAUGUUGUAUAAAAUUUUUUUACCAAAAAGCCACACCUUUAAGGAUCAACAAAUUGACAUUUAUUGACCCACCUGUAUGAUCAACGAACCAAGUUACCCUGGGGAUAACAGCGCAAUCCACUUCGAGAGCUCAUAUCGACAAGUGGGCUUACGACCUCGAUGUUGGAUCAGGGUAACCCAGUGGUGCAGCAGCUACUUAAGGUUCGUUGUCAACGAUA
This 1394-nucleotide ribosomal RNA is filed under the name Strabomantis biporcatus (Puerto Cabello robber frog). Its description in RNAcentral is "partial 16S ribosomal RNA". It matches the Rfam family "Bacterial large subunit ribosomal RNA", at positions 460 to 2589 of the family's 2925-position model. The record is from RNAcentral. Lineage: Eukaryota; Metazoa; Chordata; Amphibia; Anura; Strabomantidae.